Molecule: long non-coding RNA, 764 nt
Filed under: Equus caballus (horse)
Lineage: Eukaryota; Metazoa; Chordata; Mammalia; Perissodactyla; Equidae
Description: lncRNA (ENSECAG00000050385.1)
Source: RNAcentral
AGCUGUCAUACCUCGGCGAAGUAACAUUCACGGCCAUACCUUCGACCACCUGUUUUCCAGGUCAGCCGGGCCCUGUGGAGGUGACCCUCACGGUCUAGGCCAAACAGCAUCCCUGGGACCCAGCCUCCGCCCCUCCCCCUUAUCCCCCCCACUCCCUCAACUGGGACAGUGACUCCUGUCCCAAGAGGAGUGUGGAGAAAUGUGGAGGGAGAGAGGACCUGACAGGGGGGCACCUAGGCCUGAAGCUGGGGUCCGUCUGUGUCACCUUUGACCUUUAUCCUAAACAGUGCUCUCACACCUUCCCAACCCCCUGUUCGGAAACAAGACUGGAAGUGGAAAGUUCCAGAACUGAUGAGCCAAAGGACAAAACCGUAAGGCAAUAAGUCAGCCUCAUCACGCUUAGGAAGGAUGGAGGCUGAUGUCUUUGCUGCUGGGCCUGGAGCCUGCCAGUGUGACCCCUGGUGGCUUUGCAGGCAGGAAGGAGAGGACACUGACUCUCAUAUCAAGCCAUGACCCCGGUGCAAGAGGCUAUCCUAAAUUAGGCAGUCGCAGCUGCAGAGAAUCACCCCUGAGAAGUGGCAUCACGGAGUGCCAGCUCCUCACCCCAAAAACGUCAUUCUGUGGUCACGUGUACGUGAGUGGACAGGACAGGAGCAGGCACCUCCAGUGCCCCUUUUGUUUGCACCCUCGCCCCUCAGCUGCCCGUUCCUCUUGGUUUCCAUAUGCCCCCCCAUCAGUAGGAUCACAGCACACUUCGCUCAAAA